CGAGCUGAUCCCUUCGGGGUGACGCUCGUGGAACGAGCGGCGGACGGGUGAGUAACACGUGGGCAACCUGCCUGUAAGACCGGAAUAACCCCGGGAAACCGGGGCUAAUGCCGGGUAAUACUUUCUUUCGCAUGAAGGAAAGUUGAAAGAUGGCUUCUUGCUAUCACUUACAGAUGGGCCCGCGGCGCAUUAGCUAGUUGGUGAGGUAACGGCUCACCAAGGCGACGAUGCGUAGCCGACCUGAGAGGGUGAUCGGCCACACUGGGACUGAGACACGGCCCAGACUCCUACGGGAGGCAGCAGUAGGGAAUCUUCCGCAAUGGACGAAAGUCUGACGGAGCAACGCCGCGUGAACGAUGAAGGUCUUCGGAUCGUAAAGUUCUGUUGUUAGGGAAGAACAAGUACCGUGCGAACAGAGCGGUACCUUGACGGUACCUAACGAGGAAGCCCCGGCUAACUACGUGCCAGCAGCCGCGGUAAUACGUAGGGGGCAAGCGUUGUCCGGAAUUAUUGGGCGUAAAGCGCGCGCAGGCGGUUCCUUAAGUCUGAUGUG
This 553-nucleotide ribosomal RNA is filed under the name Halobacillus sp. YIM 93809. RNAcentral's name for it is "bacterial SSU rRNA". It matches the Rfam family "Bacterial small subunit ribosomal RNA", at positions 63 to 596 of the family's 1533-position model. The record is from RNAcentral. Lineage: Bacteria; Bacillati; Bacillota; Bacilli; Caryophanales; Bacillaceae.